RNAcentral lists this unclassified non-coding RNA (293 nucleotides) under uncultured cyanobacterium. RNAcentral's name for it is "contains 16S-23S intergenic spacer region". Lineage: Bacteria; Bacillati; Cyanobacteriota. The record is from RNAcentral.
GGGACUACGGGGGUUUCUAAUCCCUUUCGCUCCCCUAGCUCUCGUCCCUCAGUGUCAGUUCAGGCCCAGUAGAGCGCUUUCGCCACCGGUGUUCUUCCCAAUAUCUACGCAUUUCACCGCUACACUGGGAAUUCCCUCUACCCCUACCAAACUCUAGUUAACCAGUUUCUAUCGCCCUUACGAAGUUUAGCUCCGCGCUUUAACAACAGACUUGAUUAACCACCUGCGGACGCUUUACGCCCAAUAAUUCCGGAUAACGCUUGCAUCCUCCGUAUUACCGCGGCGGCUGACAC